UCCCUGGUGGCUCAGAUGGUAAAGCGUCUGUCUGCAAUGCAGGAGACGUGGGUUCAAUCCCUGUGUCGGGAA
RNAcentral lists this transfer RNA (72 nucleotides) under Bos taurus (domestic cattle). It matches the Rfam family "tRNA". From Rfam's summary of the family: Transfer RNA (tRNA) molecules are approximately 80 nucleotides in length. Lineage: Eukaryota; Metazoa; Chordata; Mammalia; Artiodactyla; Bovidae. The record is from Rfam by way of RNAcentral. RNAcentral also lists the same sequence under 4 other names.